RNAcentral lists this unclassified non-coding RNA (1497 nucleotides) under uncultured fungus. RNAcentral describes it as "sequence contains 18S rRNA gene, ITS1, 5.8S rRNA gene, ITS2, 28S rRNA gene". The stretch from base 501 to 1497 matches the Rfam family "Eukaryotic large subunit ribosomal RNA", at positions 1 to 961 of the family's 3401-position model. The record is from RNAcentral. Lineage: Eukaryota; Fungi.
GGAAGGAUCAUUAACAAACGCGCUGCCUUGUGCAGCACAUUUGCCCGGCCGCAAGGCUGAGGAUUGUGUGGAGGAGUUUCGUACGACUCCACAACAUAGACGCAUGUUUGUAUGACAGUGUGAUGGAUUCUAAAAAAACAACUUUUAACAAUGGAUCUCUUGGCUCUUGCAACGAUGAAGAACGCAGUGAAAUGCGAAAUGUAAUGCGAUUUGCAUGAAUCUGUGAGUCAUCAAGUCUUUGAACGCACCUUGCACUCUUGGCGUAAGUCAAGAGUAUACCUGUUUGAGAAUCGUAUCCUUAUCAACUCUCGUUUUGAGUUGGAUUUGGCCCUCCACUCGCUUGCCGAGGGAGAGGGCUUAAAGGCAGCAGACAAUGGACGAGCACCUGGAGGUGGAGGCAUUGUGUGAUGGAGACCAGUCGGUCUACUCACAACAGCCGCCCUUCCUGCUUUGUGGAAUGUGAAUCCCACUUGAGUCCGGUCUCUAAAACCCCUUUUUUAUGAUCUCAAAUCAGGUAAGGCUACCCGCUGAACUUAAGCAUAUCAGUAAGCGGAGGAAAAGAAACUAACAAGGAUUCCCCUAGUAACGGCGAGUGAAGCGGGAACAGCUCAAAUUUAAAAUCUGGCAGCAAUGCCCGAGUUGUAAUUUAAAGAGGCGUUUUCUGGAGCGACUACAUGUUCAAGUCCCUUGGAAGAGGGCAUCACAGAGGGUGAGAAUCCCGUCUGGACAUGUGGGUUGCUCCUCCACGAGGCGCUCUCUACGAGUCGAGUUGUUUGGGAAUGCAGCUCUAAAUGGGUGGUAAAUUUCAUCUAAGGCUAAAUACUGGCAAGAGACCGAUAGCGAACAAGUACCGUGAGGGAAAGAUGAAAAGCACCUUGAAAAGGGAGUUAAAUAGCGCGUGAAAUUGUUAAAAGGGAAACGAUUGAGAUCAGUACUGUCGGGCAACCGACGGUCAGCAUCAGUUGGUCUGGCCAGAUGCAGGUUGCGGGAAGGUGGGGUCGCGCUUCGGCAUGGCUCUUUAUAGACCGCAGCUACGAUGGUCGGACCGACUGAGGAGUCGCAGCUGAGUUCUCCGGCGGCCAAAACUACGCUCCAACAGUCCAAGUCAGCAUGCUGAUUGGGCUGGCAAGGCGUGGAGAAGGUCGCCGCGCUCGGUUUGAGGAUGCUGACGAAAUGGUCUUAAACGACCCGUCUUGAAACACGGACCAAGGAGUCUAACAUAUGUGCGAGUAUUUGGGUGGCAAACCCGGAUGCGAAAUGAAAGUAAAUGGAUGGGAAUCCCUUGUGGAGGCACCAUCGACCGACCUUGAUAUCUCUUGAUAGGUUUGAGUAAGAGCAUAUCUGUUGGGACCCGAAAGGCGGUGAACUAUGCCUGGAUAGGAUGAAGCCAGAGGAAACUCUGGUGGAGGUCCGUAGCCGUUCUGACGUGCAAAUCGAUGGUCAAAUCUGGGUAUAGGGGCGAAAGACUAAUCGAACCGCCUAGUAGCUGGUUCCCUC